RNAcentral lists this ribosomal RNA (1455 nucleotides) under Pelagibacteraceae bacterium AG-365-D07. RNAcentral describes it as "bacterial SSU rRNA". It matches the Rfam family "Bacterial small subunit ribosomal RNA". The record is from RNAcentral. RNAcentral also lists the same sequence under 1 other name. Lineage: Bacteria; Pseudomonadati; Pseudomonadota; Alphaproteobacteria; Candidatus Pelagibacterales; Candidatus Pelagibacteraceae.
AGAGUUUGAUCAUGGCUCAGAACGUACGCUGGCGGCACGCCUAAUACAUGCAAGUCGAACGAGGUAGCAAUACCUAGUGGCAGACGGGUGAGUAACAUGUGGGUACCUUCCCUUUGGUGAGGAAUAACACGAGGAAACUUGUGCUAAUACCUCAUAAGUCUUCACAGAGAAAGCUUUAUGCGCCAAUGGAUGGGCCUGCACUUGAUUAGUUUGUUGGUGAGGUAAUGGCUCACCAAGACUUUGAUCAAUAGCUGAUUUGAGAGGAUGAUCAGCCACAUUGGGACUGAGACACGGCCCAAACUCCUACGGGAGGCAGCAGUAGGGAAUCUUGCACAAUGGAGGAAACUCUGAUGCAGCGAUGCCGCGUGAGUGAAGAAGGCCUUUGGGUUGUAAAGCUCUUUCGUCGGGGAAGAAAAUGACUGUACCCGAAUAAGAAGGUCCGGCUAACUUCGUGCCAGCAGCCGCGGUAAUACGAAGGGACCUAGCGUAGUUCGGAAUUACUGGGCUUAAAGAGUUCGUAGGUGGUUAAAAAAGUUGGUGGUGAAAUCCCAGAGCUUAACUCUGGAACUGCCAUCAAAACUUUUUAGCUAGAGUAUGAUAGAGGAAAGCAGAAUUUCUAGUGUAGAGGUGAAAUUCGUAGAUAUUAGAAAGAAUACCAAUUGCGAAGGCAGCUUUCUGGAUCAUUACUGACACUGAGGAACGAAAGCAUGGGUAGCGAAGAGGAUUAGAUACCCUCGUAGUCCAUGCCGUAAACGAUGUGUGUUAGAUGUUGGAAAUUUAUUUUCAGUAUCGCAGCGAAAGCGUUAAACACACCGCCUGGGGAGUACGACCGCAAGGUUAAAACUCAAAUGAAUUGACGGGGACCCGCACAAGUAGUGGAGCAUGUGGUUUAAUUCGAAGAUACGCGCAGAACCUUACCAACACUUGACAUGUUUGUCGCGACUUUAAGAGAUUAAAGUCUUCGGUUCGGCCGGACAAAACACAGGUGCUGCAUGGCUGUCGUCAGCUCGUGUCGUGAGAUGUUGGGUUAAGUCCCGCAACGAGCGCAACCCUCACUUUUAGUUGCCACCAUUUAGUUGGGCACUCUGAAAGAACUGCCAGUGAUAAGCUGGAGGAAGGUGGGGAUGACGUCAAGUCCUCAUGGCCCUUACGUGUUGGGCUACACACGUGCUACAAUGGCAUUUACAAUAGGAAGCAAGAUGGCGACAUCAAGCAAAUCCUAAAAAAAUGCCUCAGUUCGGAUUGUACUCUGCAACUCGAGUACAUGAAGCUGGAAUUACUAGUAAUCGCGGAUCAGCGCGCCGCGGUGAAUACGUUCCCGGGUCUUGUACACACCGCCCGUCACACCAUGGGAGUUGGUUCUACCUUAAGGCAAAGCUUAAAACCUUUGACCACGGUAUAGUCAGCGACUGGGGUGAAGUCGUAACAAGGUAGCCGUAGGGGAACCUGCGGCUG